UCAAUGCUCCCCUAUAAUAGCUCAAUUAUCACCAAACUGUAUUAAGGUGGUUUACGGGUUAAUUUAAUAGAGGGUUAUCAUUCUUUUCCUACUUUAUGCUCAAAACCCCAAUCACUAACCUAACAUGUAAAGCAUGAAUGGCGUGCAUAAAGAAUGUCAAGUAUUACAUCAACAAGUAUUGGCCAAUUUAUUUAGCACUAUGUCCACAGUUUGUAAAUUAUACCAGUCCAAUAAUAAUAUCAUAGCUAGCAAGGUUAUCAAGCUCACACAAGCAUGCAAGAAAGGAAUUAAAACAAACUGAAAAAAUUGCAAUUUUUUUCUUACACACAUCAAGCACACAUUAUGCAAUAAUGGAACACAGAUAAUGAUGAACACAUAGAAAGAUUUAAAAUUAUGUCACCCCUCAAACUUAGUUAAUAC
This 420-nucleotide long non-coding RNA is filed under the name Olea europaea (common olive). RNAcentral's name for it is "long non-coding RNA (OEUR_LNC014512)". The record is from RNAcentral. Lineage: Eukaryota; Viridiplantae; Streptophyta; Magnoliopsida; Lamiales; Oleaceae.